AGGUAGCAUAAUUAUUAGUCUUUUAAUUGAAGGCUUGAAUGAACGAUUGGAUGAAAUAUAAACUUUAUUAAUUAAAAUUAUUUAAUUUAUAUUUUAAGUAAAAAUUCUUAAAUAAAUAAGUGUGACGAGAAGACCCUAUAGAGUUUAAUUUUUUUUURURUUUAAAAAUUUUAGAUGAAAAUAUUUAUAUAAUAUAAAAGUAAAUUUUGUUGGGGUGAUAUUAAAAACUAAUUAACUUUUAAUUUAAACUUCAUUAAUUUAUGAUUAAAUGAUCCAAUUUUAUUGAUCAAAAGAUCAAAUUACCUUAGGGAUAACAGCGUUAUUAAUUUAGAGAGUUCWAAUCGAUAAAUUAGUUUGC
RNAcentral lists this ribosomal RNA (358 nucleotides) under Karscheliana parva. RNAcentral's name for it is "partial 16S large subunit ribosomal RNA". Lineage: Eukaryota; Metazoa; Arthropoda; Insecta; Hemiptera; Cicadidae. The record is from RNAcentral.